RNAcentral lists this ribosomal RNA (440 nucleotides) under uncultured bacterium. RNAcentral describes it as "partial 16S ribosomal RNA". It matches the Rfam family "Bacterial small subunit ribosomal RNA", at positions 338 to 795 of the family's 1533-position model. The record is from RNAcentral.
CCUACGGGAGGCAGCAGUGGGGAAUAUUGCACAAUGGGGGAAACCCUGAUGCAGCGACGCCGCGUGAGUGAAGAAGGAUUUCGGUAUGUAAAGCUCUAUCAGCAGGGAAGAAAAUGACGGUACCUGAUUAAGAAGCCCCGGCUAACGACGGGCCAGCAGCCGCGGUAAUACGGAGGGGGCAAGCGUUAUCCGGAUUGACUGGGUGUAAAGGGAGCGUAGACGGCAGAACAAGUCGGGAGUGAAAUGCAGGGGCUUAACCCCGGAACUGCUUUGGAAACUGUGCAGCUAGUGUGCAGGAGCGGUAAGUGGAAUUCCUCGUGUAGCGGUGAUAUGCGUCGAUAUUAGGCGGAACACCCGUGGCGCAGGCGGCUUCCUGGACUGUACCUGACGUUGAGGCUCGACAGCGUGGGGCGCAAACCGGAUUAGAUACCCGGGUAGUC